CCAUUUUUAUGGGUGACACGAGGAAAUCCACAUUGGCAACCACGUGGAGCCAGUGGGGGCUCACCCAUCGUGUGGGGCCAAACGGGAACCCACCCAAUCACGUGGCAUCAUUGGUCUACGUGGACAUCGCGAGGGGCCAAAGGGGACCCACCCAAUCAUGUGGCUGUACGGCCCGCCUCCUGGCUCUAAUACCAUGUGGAAUUUUCAGGUCGACGGGCCGAGGGCCUACUCCAACAACACUGAUAUUGUCCCUACUUAACUACCUGCACAAUCCUCAAGUGUGGGGUUUUAUCACAAAAGGCCUCAGUGUUAGUUAGAGUAGGGUAAAUCUAUAUAAAGUACUCUUCUCUUCUUCCUCUGUCCGAUGUGGGACAAAUGAGGGUUCCAACAAGUUUGUUCAAAUUUUUCUAUAAAUAAUGUUCAAAAUAAAUUACAAGGAAUAAGGAUAAGUAUAAUAAUGUGGUGCCAACAUGAUUAGAAUCAACAUUAACCUGAUCUCAGGUAGGAUUCAGAUUCUUUGCCCUUCUAUUUCUCUGCUCUCCUAUCCUCUUCUUUCUCAGAGCCGUUCAAAGCAUUUCCAAUAUGCAAUUCACAACAUUUUUGCAGCCUUAACGGGCAUAAUUAAACACUUGAGGGAUUCAACCAUGUUGACAUGACAUAAUCUUGAGCGUUCAAAUAGAAGGGUAAAGAAAUAUGAGGAGAGAGAAUCCGAAACCGUGUAUCAGUUUGUCACUCUUCAGGUGGUUGACAAAAUCAACCGCCAUGACUCCCCUAGCAGAAACAACUCCAUGUUAUUUUUACAACAAGAAACAAAUAUCCCAAACAAAAAGGAGAGUUUUAUAUAUUUUUUUUCUUUUUUAAAGAUCAAGGAGAAUUUAAGUUUGGUGGUAAAUCGGUGAUAUAAAGUUUCGCCACAAUUGGGUUUACGUAUUUAUCAACUUGUGACUCACGUAAUGUCAUCAAUUUAUGGAUAAAAUUUCAUUUUUACUCAUUUCCCUGACUUUAACUAUUGACAGGAUUGAGACUCGAAAUUUAAAGUCUAAGCUUCAAGUGUUGGUUUUAAAAUCUAAACCCUAAUAGACUAGGUUAAUAAAUAUUGUAGAGUAUUAGGUUUAUCGUUUGGCUUCCCUUGCUAAAAUUUGUAAAUGUUACCACACAUACUCAUAAUUUAGAGUUAGAGUACAAUGCUAAUCUGAGAUUACUACUGGAUUGAACUUGUCAAAAACACUAGCCCUCUUCACUGCAAAAGGUUUGAACCAUACAUUUGCAUAUGCAUAUCAAGCUUAUUUUUUUUCAGAUUUUUUUUGUUUAGUGUAGUUGUCUAAUUAGAAAUUCCUUUUGUUGUCCAACUAUUUAGGCACGCAAAUUAAGACAGCCCACAUGGGUCAUCUGACACCCUUUCCCAUUCGUGGAUUUCUCACCUUGUGUCCCCUGGUUCCUCUUGUCUGAAACAUCCAACUCUUUCAUUAAAAGAGGUUCCAAAGUUUCAUUUGUAGUUGGCUAGGUUAUUCACGUUUCAAGAAAAAUAGUGCAUUUAGCCUAGAGCUACCUCCUAAGCUUCCAAACCGAAACCCUAGCCACAAAGCCAUCUCAUGCACAAACACCCAAUCAUUGCAUAUUAGGGUUGCAUUAUAUUCAUGGUUUUGUAUUAAGUUAUUGGUCUAAACCUAUGUUUCAUAUCCUUCAUAGACCGAUUUUUUGGAUUCAUGUUAGGUUCUUCUUUAACUGUUUGAUUGGAGAACCUGACUGGUCAUUUGAGUUCUUAAUUCAUAAGCAUAUUAUAACAUCAUAUCUUUGAUCGUGUUGAUCUCGGUGCUACAAGGUGAAGAGCUCAGGAGGAGCUGCCAUCUCGUGGACCGAAAGAAUUCAUCUUGUGUAAGACAAGGUUAUACGAAGGUAAAGCUUCUCUGUAGAUAGGGAUUUAGGAAUUGAGCUAGUGUGGUCUUUGUAUGAACUUUGUUUACACUAGUGGAUUGGACUCAAUGGAGAGUCCUUGGUUUUUUAACCAAGAGGUGAGUUUUUUUGGCCAAAUAACCAUUAGAGGUAAACAUUGUAGGGUUUGCUAGUAUUGACACUUUGUUAACCAAGUAAACAUAACUCAAGAAUUAAGUUUAAAACAUAACUGAAGAUCACACUGCAUUGUUUUAGCAUUAUAAGUUUGCUUGGUUUAUAUACUUGUGAGCACUUAACAAUCUGUACUCACUUGACUAGUAUGUUUAACUAGUCAGUACAAUUGGUUUCAAAGUUUUUAUUGUAAGGUAAUCCACCUUGUACCAAUUUCAAAUACAACUAGUGUUAAAGUUAACAUAAUAAAAGUGAAGUUUUUUUUUAAGAUGUCAUGUCUUUCUACAUGACAGAAAAAAUGCUCUAAAUCUAUUACUAUUACGGAUCAAACUUUAAAGUUAAUAAGAGACCAUAUAUAUGUCACUUAGUUAAAAUACCACAUAAAUAAGGUUGUUGCUAAAGUGAUACUCAAUUCACUUUAAACAAUAAACCAUCAUGAGGAAGCCCAAUGGUUGAAGACGAUUUGAAGCUCGAAUUUCACAUGGCUCGUUCUGAGUUCGAUUCUUAACGAUAGUGAAUUGCAUGAUGGUAGCCAGAAGGAGGCUGAAAUGCUUCUAUGAGUCUUCCCGGCCCUCGAAAUGAUG
Molecule: long non-coding RNA, 2648 nt
Filed under: Malus domestica (apple)
Lineage: Eukaryota; Viridiplantae; Streptophyta; Magnoliopsida; Rosales; Rosaceae
Description: long non-coding RNA (MDOM_LNC021174)
Source: RNAcentral